RNAcentral lists this unclassified non-coding RNA (605 nucleotides) under Hevea brasiliensis (rubber tree). Lineage: Eukaryota; Viridiplantae; Streptophyta; Magnoliopsida; Malpighiales; Euphorbiaceae. The record is from RNAcentral.
AUUCAAGUGGGGUUACCAAUAGCUCAUUAAAAAAAAAAAAUACUCAAGUGGGUGUGGACGUGGUUGCUGGCUAAGGCAGAUGUUGAAGAAUGCUGUUUACCUUAGAAAAAAGGGAAUAAAAAUAACAAUAAGAAUAAGAAAUUGCCGUACCAAAUAGCAUUGAACCUAGCACAGUCAGCAAAAUGAAACAACGUUCCACGCUUUUUGAGCAGUCCGAGUCCCUACAGUGUGCAGACGACCUUGAAUAUUAAUUUCAGAAACUGCCUCAUUAGACCCAAAAGCUAGAAAAUCCAUCAAAAAUCUUUAAUCUAUAUAUGCUAAAUUUAACUACGAAAUGCUCUGUAUCACUUCCUUAAUUGAGUUUAAUCCAAAUUUUGCGUUUCGCAAUCAUGUUUAUGUAAAUCCAAUCAAAAUUCCACAGAAGGAAGGUUCUGCUAAACGAAAGAAGCCUGUAAUCAAACGACAACAGGCCGUAACUGUUUAUGUUAGAUUAUACAACAAGAAAUGUUAUUAAUUUGGAUAUAUAAGAAGUUGAUGUACAAGAGAAGAAAUUACUUCAACCGGGUUUCUGUCAAAUCGAGCCAGAUUUGCUUGAAAACCUUGAU